This 85-nucleotide transfer RNA is filed under the name Sorangiineae bacterium NIC37A_2. Its description in RNAcentral is "tRNA-Leu". It matches the Rfam family "tRNA". Rfam says of the family: Transfer RNA (tRNA) molecules are approximately 80 nucleotides in length. Their secondary structure includes four short double-helical elements and three loops (D, anti-codon, and T loops). Lineage: Bacteria; Pseudomonadati; Myxococcota; Myxococcia; Myxococcales. The record is from RNAcentral.
GGCCCCUUGGCGAAAUUGGCAUACGCGGCGGACUUAAAAUCCGUUUCCUUCGGGAUUCCCGGUUCAAGCCCGGGAGGGGCCACCA